Erinaceus europaeus (western European hedgehog) is the source of this 338-nucleotide unclassified non-coding RNA. Its record names the gene 7SK. It matches the Rfam family "7SK RNA". From Rfam's summary of the family: 7SK was discovered as an abundant small nuclear RNA in the mid-70s but a possible function has only recently been suggested. The record is from Ensembl. NCBI's taxonomy places the organism in Eukaryota, Metazoa, Chordata, Mammalia, Eulipotyphla, Erinaceidae.
GACUGUGAGGUCAUCUGGCUAUGCCAUCUGUCACCCCAGUGAUCGCCAGGGUUGAUUCGGCUGAUCUGGCUGCCUAGGCGGGUGUCCCCUUCCUCCCUCACCGCUCCAUAUGCGUCCCUCCCGAAGCUGCAUGCUUGGUCGAAGAGGACGGCCUUCCCCAAACAGAGAUGGACUGGUCUUCCCUCGAGGGUAUAUGAGUAGCUGCGCUCCCCUGCUAGAACCUCCAAACAAGCUCUCAAGGUCCAAAUACAAGUCAAUCAAGUAAGUUUGAGAGGUUUUGUAUUAAGCUACAAAGAAGUAUUUAAAAUAUCAGUAAAUAAACCUUCUAUAUGUAGCUA